RNAcentral lists this ribosomal RNA (460 nucleotides) under uncultured bacterium. Its description in RNAcentral is "partial 16S ribosomal RNA". It matches the Rfam family "Bacterial small subunit ribosomal RNA", at positions 338 to 795 of the family's 1533-position model. The record is from RNAcentral.
CCUACGGGAGGCAGCAGUGAGGAAUAUUGGUCAAUGGACGCAAGUCUGAACCAGCCAUGCCGCGUGCAGGAAGACGGCUCUAUGAGUUGUAAACUGCUUUUGUACGAGGGUAAACUCAGAUACGCGUAUCUUUCUGAAUGUACCUUACGAAUAAGGAUCGGCUAACUCCGUACCAGCAGCCGCGGUAAUACGGAGGAUUCAAGCGUUAUCCGGAUUUAUUGGGUUUAAAGGGUGCGUAGUCGGUCGGAUAAGUUAGAGGUGAAAUCCCGAGGCUCAACUUCGGAAUUGCCUCUGAUACUGUUAGGCUAGAGAGUAGUUGCGGUAGGCGGAAUGUAUGGUGUAGCGGUGAAAUGCUUAGAGAUCAUACAGAACACCGAUUGCGAAGGCAGCUUACCAAGCUACGUCUGACGUUGAGGCACGAAAGCGUGGGGAGCAAACAGGAUUAGAUACCCGAGUAGUC